Molecule: ribosomal RNA, 460 nt
Filed under: uncultured bacterium
Lineage: Bacteria
Description: partial 16S ribosomal RNA
Rfam family: Bacterial small subunit ribosomal RNA
Source: RNAcentral
CCUACGGGAGGCAGCAGUGAGGAAUAUUGGUCAAUGGACGAGAGUCUGAACCAGCCAAGUAGCGUGAAGGAUGACUGCCCUAUGGGUUGUAAACUUCUUUUAUAUGGGAAUAAAACGUUCCACGUGUGGGAUUUUGUAUGUACCAUAUGAAUAAGGAUCGGCUAACUCCGUGCCAGCAGCCGCGGUAAUCCGGAGGAUCCGAGCGUUAUCCGGAUUUAUUGGGUUUAAAGGGAGCGUAGGUGGAUUGUUAAGUCAGUUGUGAAAGUUUGCGGCUCAACCGUAAAAUUGCAGUUGAAACUGGCAGUCUUGAGUACAGUAGAGGUGGGCGGAAUUCGUGGUGUAGCGGUGAAAUGCUUAGAUAUCACGAAGAACUCCGAUUGCGAAGGCAGUUCACUGGACUGCAACUGACACUGAGGCUCGAAAGUGUGGGUAUCAAACAGGAUUAGAUACCCUAGUAGUC